Molecule: ribosomal RNA, 253 nt
Filed under: uncultured bacterium
Lineage: Bacteria
Description: partial 16S ribosomal RNA
Rfam family: Bacterial small subunit ribosomal RNA
Source: RNAcentral
UACAGAGGUCUCAAGCGUUGUUCGGAUUCAUUGGGCGUAAAGGGUGCGUAGGUGGCGCUGUAAGUCGGGUGUGAAAUCCCCAGGCUUAACCUGGGAACUGCAUUCGAGACUGCAUUGCUAGAGUAUGGCAGAGGGGGGUAGAAUUCCACGUGUAGCAGUGAAAUGCGUAGAGAUGUGGAGGAACACCGAUGGCGAAGGCAGCCCCCUGGGUCAAAACUGACGCUCAUGCACGAAAGCGUGGGGAGCAAACAGG